RNAcentral lists this long non-coding RNA (722 nucleotides) under Marmota monax (woodchuck). Lineage: Eukaryota; Metazoa; Chordata; Mammalia; Rodentia; Sciuridae. The record is from RNAcentral.
AUGGAACAGAAUAGAAGACACAGAGAAAAAUCCCUCCAAAAUAGUUACCUCAUACUAGACAAAGGUGCCAAAAACAUACAUUGGAUAAAAGAUAGCCUCUCCAACAAAUGGUGCUGGGAAAACUGGAAAUCCAUAUGUAGUAGAAUGAGGUUUAACCCCUAUCUCUCACCCUGCACGAAACUCAACUCAAGGUAGAUCAAGGACCUAGGCAUUAGACCAGAAACCCUGCACCUAGUAAAAGAAAAUGUAGGCCCAGUACCCUAACAUAUCAGCUUGGGAACUGAGUUCCUUAACAAGACUCUUAAACCACAAGAAGUAAAACCAAUGAUCAGUAGAUGAAUGGCAUCAAACUAAAAAACUUCUUCAUAGCAAAGAAAAUAAUCAAGAGCAUGAAAAGAGAGCCAACAGAAUGGGAGAAAAUCUGUGCUACCUGCACCUAGAUAGAGCAUUAAUAUCCAGGAUAUAUAAAGAACUCAAAAAACUUAACACCAAAAACAAACAAAAACCCCCCAAAUAAUCCCAUUAAUAAAUGGGCAAAGGAACUGAAUAGACACUUCACAGAAGAAAUACAAUCUGUCAACAAAUAUAAGAAAAAAAAAUGUUCAACAUUUCUAGCAAUGUGAGAAAUACAGAUUAAAACUACACUGAGAUUCCAUCUUUCUCCAGUCAGAAUGGCAAUUAUCAAGGAUAUAAGUAACAAUAAAUGGGAGUGAGGAUGUGGG